AUGGUUUCUGUGCUGAUGCUCUUCCUCAUCCUGGUCAUGCUGGUUUUGGCCCUGCCCCCAUCGUUGUGUCCCCACCUGUCCCCCACCCCAAAUCUCAGCCCUUGGCCCAACCCUGACCCUUUGCUGCACCCCUGGAUUGGCUCAGCCCCGAAUUCUCAGCUCUUUGUGUCAAAUCCUCAGCUCUGGGCUGCUGGGUGUGGGGGGGACCUCCCACCCCCCGGGGGGUCCCUGACUCUGCUCUACCGUGCCUCUGGAUUCGAUUUUGGAAGCUCCUACAUGAACUGGGUUCGGCAGAGCACCGGCAAGGCGCUGGAAUACCUUGGCUAUAUCAGCAGCAAUGGUGGCAACACCUACUACGCGCCGUCAGUCAAGGGCCGGUUCUCGAUCUCCAGGGACAACGGGCAGAGCUCGGUGACGCUGACCAUGAACAACCUCAAGGACGAGGAUUCCGCCGUUUAUUUCUGUGCCAAAGAUGCAAGUGGUUAUGGUGGUUGGAUCGAGAAGAGACUCUUGACUGACGGCACGAGGUCGUAG
Molecule: non-coding RNA, 534 nt
Organism: Catharus ustulatus (Swainson's thrush)
Lineage: Eukaryota; Metazoa; Chordata; Aves; Passeriformes; Turdidae
Source: the annotation of a RefSeq genome assembly